RNAcentral lists this long non-coding RNA (294 nucleotides) under Mytilus galloprovincialis (Mediterranean mussel). The record is from RNAcentral. Lineage: Eukaryota; Metazoa; Mollusca; Bivalvia; Mytilida; Mytilidae.
UUCUUAAUUUAUGAUCUAAUAAUAUGUAUACGAAGUGAGCCCCGCUUAUUUAUCUAAUUUAUUCUUUCCGUUAAGCUGGGAUCACACAUUCACGAUUUUUACUGCCGUCCUUGACAAGACGAUUCCAGAUUAAAAUUUGUCAAAAGUCUGAUCAAGAUCCUGUGAAUCGUAGAUUGAAAUUCAAACUUUAAUCAAAAUUUGUAAAAAAAAAAUUUAAUCACGACAACAAUCAGAUAUUGUUCAGGAAGCGUCGAUAUUCAACCGUUUCCAAGCGAAUUUGUCCCGAUAAUCCCG